UAAAUACUCCAUCCGUCCUAAAAUUCUUGUUUUAUUUUUGUCUAGGUAUGAAUGUAUCUAGUCACGUUUUAGUAUUUCGAUACAUCCAUUUCUAGACAAAUCUAAAACAAGAAUUUUAAGACGGAGGAAGUAUAAG
Non-coding RNA from Hordeum vulgare subsp. vulgare (domesticated barley), 136 nucleotides. NCBI's taxonomy places the organism in Eukaryota, Viridiplantae, Streptophyta, Magnoliopsida, Poales, Poaceae. The record is from Rfam.